RNAcentral lists this transfer RNA (64 nucleotides) under Gonocephalus grandis (Giant forest dragon). RNAcentral's name for it is "tRNA-Tyr". The record is from RNAcentral. Lineage: Eukaryota; Metazoa; Chordata; Lepidosauria; Squamata; Agamidae.
CAACCGGGGGGAAUUUGCCCCAUAAAUGAGUUUACAACUCACCGCCUAAAUCAGCCACCCGAUU